This 468-nucleotide ribosomal RNA is filed under the name uncultured bacterium. RNAcentral describes it as "partial 16S ribosomal RNA". It matches the Rfam family "Bacterial small subunit ribosomal RNA", at positions 28 to 507 of the family's 1533-position model. The record is from RNAcentral.
GACGAACGCUGGCGGCGUGCCUAACACAUGCAAGUCGAACGGAAAGGCCCGGCUUUUGCGGGGUGCUCGAGUGGCGAACGGGUGAGUAACACGUGAGUAUCCCGCCCUUGACUGUGUGAUAUCUCCAGGAAACUGCGGCUCAUACAGGAGAGGAGCUCCUGCUGCACGGGGGGGGUUGGAAAGUUUCGGCGGUGGUGGAUGGACUCGCGGCUUAUCAGCUUGUUGGUGGAGUAGUCGCUUACCACGGCUUUGACGGGUAGCCGGCCUGAGAGGGUGAACGGCGACAAGAGGACUGAGGUAGGCCGCAGACGCGUACGGGAGGCAGCGGGGGAAAGUAUUACACAAUGGGCGGGAGUCUGUUGCAGCAGCGUCGCGUGCGGAAUGAUGGCCUUCGGGUUAUAAACCGCUGUCGCCUGUGACAUAGCGGGAGUGACGGUAAUGAGUAAAGAAGCACCGGCUAACUACGUG